GACGAACCGUGCGAACGUUGUUCGGAUUCACUGGGCUUAAAGGGCGCGUAGGCGGGCGCACAAGUCGGGGGUGAAAGCCCACGGCCCAACCGUGGAAGGGCCCCCGAUACUGGGCGCCUCGAGUGGGGUAGGGGCACGCGGAACUUCCGGUGGAGCGGUGAAAUGCGUAGAUAUCGGAAGGAACGCCGGUGGCGAAAGCGGCGUGCUGGGCCCCAACUGACGCUGAGGCGCGAAAGCCAGGGGAGCAAACGGG
RNAcentral lists this ribosomal RNA (253 nucleotides) under uncultured bacterium. RNAcentral describes it as "partial 16S ribosomal RNA". It matches the Rfam family "Bacterial small subunit ribosomal RNA", at positions 524 to 776 of the family's 1533-position model. The record is from RNAcentral.